Molecule: ribosomal RNA, 551 nt
Filed under: uncultured bacterium
Lineage: Bacteria
Description: bacterial SSU rRNA
Rfam family: Bacterial small subunit ribosomal RNA
Source: RNAcentral
UGGGGAAUCUUCCGCAAUGGGCGAAAGCCUGACGGAGCAACGCCGCGUGAGUGAAGACGGCCUUCGGGUUGUAAAGCUCUGUUAUAGGGGACGAACGGCCGGGUAGCGAAGAGGUAGCCGGCAUGACGGUACCGUAAGAGAAAGCCACGGCUAACUACGUGCCAGCAGCCGCGGUAAUACGUAGGUGGCAAGCGUUGUCCGGAAUGAUUGGGCGUAAAGGGCGCGCAGGCGGCUGUGUAAGUCUGUCCAGAAAGUGCGGGGCUAAACCCCGUGAGAGGAUGGAAACUGGACAGCUGAGAGUGUCGGAGAGGAAAGCGGAAUUCCUAGUGUAGCGGUGAAAUGCGUAGAUAUUAGGAGGAACACCGGUGGCGAAAGCGGCUUUCUGGACGACAACUGACGCUGAGGCGCGAAAGCCAGGGGAGCAAACGGGAUUAGAUACCCCGGUAGUCCUGGCCGUAAACGAUGGGUACUAGGUGUAGGAGGUAUCAACCCCUCCUGUGCCGGAGUUAACGCAAUAAGUACCCCGCCUGGGGAGUACGGCCGCAAGGCUG